Molecule: non-coding RNA, 1606 nt
Organism: Lactuca sativa (garden lettuce)
Lineage: Eukaryota; Viridiplantae; Streptophyta; Magnoliopsida; Asterales; Asteraceae
Source: RefSeq, a predicted model, not a curated record
AAUCUUACUAGAGGUUUUGAUUUUGGAGGCAAUAGGCUACAAAUUUUGAUUCAACAAGAUUGAGAUGGAGCAAGUUUUCGGUUAAAUCUACUUUAAAGCUGAACUUCUCUCUAUGGAUGAAUGGCUACAGGUUUGAUGUUGUCAUGCUAUAUCUCCUUAAAAGUUUAAAGCUUCUCUAUGUUUUUCUUAUUUCCUCUUUUAUAUGGAAAUUAUGUAAUUAAGCUUUUGAACAUAUAUUUGCAUGUACUUGAAUAUGUCUAUGUGUGUAGGUGGGAUCGUUUCUCAUUUCUCAGCUUGGUAAAUCCAUGCCAUAGCUCAAGAAAAAGACAUAUACCAUAGAGGAUAUAUUAGUAAUAUGAAAGGAUUCAUGAAAGUACAAAUAUGUCAUGCAUGUUUCCAUCGGUGGAAAAGAGCUUCACAAGCACCUAGCUUGUGAAUUGUGUGAAGAUGUUAGAACUAAGCGGUUAGUGAAAUCUCACAGCUCUAACAUUCGUAAAUUCCUACUUUUCAAUUUCUUAUAUGUAUGCCCAUAUUUAUAAAUGUGAUUGUAGUAAGUGCAACUUUUUAAACAUUAUAACUGAGGUGGCCAAGUGGGUCUCUACCAUAAUCAUGGUUAUAAUUCUGUUAUUAUCUCUAAAAAACAAUACGAGUUAGUGUCUAAAGCAUAACUAUCUAAAUAUUAAUUAGUAAGUCUUAAAUAGUAUACUUAUAUCUUUGAAAUAUGCUUUGUUUUAAAAAGACAUAACAAUAAAUAUAUAUUUGUUAUAGUAAAUUAUACCAUCAAUAAAGAUAUCAUUUUCUAACAUUGAAUUUAGUGGAUAUUGUUUUCAUGGGACGGUAACCAUGCACUCAAAUAUGUACAUAAAUAUAGUAAUAAAAAAUGAGAAUAUUUUAUGGUAUGUUAUUUUAAUGUGUACAUGACAGGUAGCAGAGAUGUAAUAGAAGGAAAUGGAAGUAAGUUGUAAUUUCUUGCUAAUGAAUGAAAGUACGUUGUUAUUCAUCACAUUUAAUUUGACGUAAAUGCAAGAAAUAACAACGUACUUUCUAAGUACAUUGUCAUCAUGAGAAUAAAUUGAAAGUAAACUACCCUUUCUUGCUAAUAAAUGAAAGUAAGCUGCUAUUUGCAUUUAUUUUGGGUACAGUGCAAGAAAUAGCAAAUUACCUCAAAAUUAAAGUGCCCCAUAAUGAGAAUAAACUUGAAAUUAAAUUACUAUUUCUCGCUCAUUGGCUUAUUUGGCAUAUUUCUUUAAAAUAAAAUCAACGCUUUUGGGUAAAUUGCAGGAAAUGGCAAGAUACUUAAAACCACUAUUAUGAUUUGAAGUUGAUUACAUUUUCUUUUCAUGUUUGUGUUUGAAAAAGCACCACAAACCAAGCGUUAGGCAUGGAGUUGGAGUAUGUUCUUGGGAAAAUUAAUGUUAAAAAAUAUCGUAUUUGUGUGCCCUUUAAGACCAGAAGUAAAAUUCUAAACAGUUUCUCUGUGUGUUUCUAAAUGCUUUAUUAUGAUGAAUCAUCAUUUUCCUAUAUUUCUAAAGUACAUGCUCAGGUAAUUAAUAUUUUCGUGAGCAAGUGUUGUUUUAAUUGUAUGCUUUUAAAAUAAUUAAGCAGA